This 1155-nucleotide long non-coding RNA is filed under the name Dromaius novaehollandiae (emu). RNAcentral's name for it is "lncRNA (ENSDNVG00000016506.1)". The record is from RNAcentral. Lineage: Eukaryota; Metazoa; Chordata; Aves; Casuariiformes; Dromaiidae.
AUGUUACCUCAGGGAGGUCCCCAACAGUCGUGGGGGGGGACACAUGUUACCUCAGGGAUGUCCCCAAAGGCCAUGGGGGGACACAUUACCUCAGGGAGGUCCCCAACAGUCGUGGGGGGGGACAUGUUACCUCAGGGAGGUCCCCAACGGCCAUGGGGGGGACAUGUUACCUCGGGGAGGUCCCCAACGGCCAUAGGGGGGGACAUGUUACCUCAGGGAGGUCCCCAAUGGCCAUGGGGGGGACAUGUUACCUCGGGGAGGUCCCCAACGGCCAUAGGGGGGGACAUGUUACCUCGGGGAGGUCCCCAAAGGCCAUGGGGGGGACAUGUUACCUCGGGGAGGUCCCCAAUGGCCAUAGGGGGGGACAUGUUACCUCAGGGAUGUCCCAAUGGUCACCGAGGGGACACGUUACCUCAGGGAGGUCCCCAACGGUCACGGGAGGUGGGAGGGGACAUAUAUUACCUCAGGGAGGUCCCCAAUGGCCAUGGGGGGGGGGGGACACGUUGCUUCAUGGAUGUCCCCAGUGGUCACCAGGGGGGACACGUUGCCUCAGGGAGGUCCCCAACGGUCAUGGGGGGGGGGACACACAUUACCUUAGGGCUGUCCCCCGCUGCCCUCAGGGAGAGCCUUUACCUCAGGGACGUCCCCAAGGCCAAGGGGACAGGCCGUUCCACCGGGGACGGCUGUCACCUCACGGAUGUCCCUCACGGCCACCCCAAGGACGGCCAUUACCUCAGGUGUCACAGGACGGGGCCGUUGCCUUGGGGACGUCCCCCAACGGCCACCCCGGGGACGGGCCUGGACCUCCGCACGGGAGGGCCCGACUGCUGCUGCUCCUUGCCGCGCUUUUGUUUGGCUUUAUUUUCACCACUUUCCUCCUUUUCCGAGCAGAAGCGCGUGAGGCCGGCAGCGGCCGGGCUUUCCCUAACAAUAUCCCUUGCUCACGUGCCGUUAUCCAUUGGUUUCCCAAUUCGGCCACCUUUCACUUUCCCCGGCCUCCGCGCACGCUGUGUUUUAGAGCCCGGCAACCGCUCCUCUCGCUUUCUUGUAGGUUAUUGCCGUCCUCCAGCGUGGAGCCAUAUGUGUUUUUAUAACCACGGCCUCUUGUUUGUGUUGUCAGCCAGAGUUCGGAUGCGGCGAUCCCGUGAUUUCUGA